GGAAAGUUGGCAGAGUGACCGAAUGCGCUGGACUCGAAAUCCGGUAUGCCUAUUAUGGGCAUCGGGGGUUUGAAUCCCUCACUUUCCG
Molecule: transfer RNA, 88 nt
Filed under: Prevotella sp.
Lineage: Bacteria; Pseudomonadati; Bacteroidota; Bacteroidia; Bacteroidales; Prevotellaceae
Description: tRNA-Ser
Rfam family: tRNA
About the family: Transfer RNA (tRNA) molecules are approximately 80 nucleotides in length. Their secondary structure includes four short double-helical elements and three loops (D, anti-codon, and T loops). Further hydrogen bonds mediate the characteristic L-shaped molecular structure. tRNAs have two regions of fundamental functional importance: the anti-codon, which is responsible for specific mRNA codon recognition, and the 3' end, to which the tRNAs corresponding amino acid is attached (by aminoacyl-tRNA synthetases). tRNAs cope with the degeneracy of the genetic code in two manners: having more than one tRNA (with a specific anti-codon) for a particular amino acid; and 'wobble' base-pairing, i.e. permitting non-standard base-pairing at the 3rd anti-codon position.
Source: RNAcentral